UACGGAAGGGGGUAGCGUUGUUCGGAAUCACUGGGCGUAAAGCGCGCGUAGGCUGUUUGAUAAGUCAGACGUGAAAUCCCUCGGCUCAACCGGGGAACUGCGUUUGAUACUGUCGAACUCGAGUCCUGGAGAGGGUGGCGGAAUUCCUGGUGUAGGAGUGAAAUCCGUAGAUAUCAGGAGGAACACCGGUGGCGAAGGCGGCCACCUGGACAGGUACUGACGCUGAGGUGCGAAAGCGUGGGGAGCAAACAGG
RNAcentral lists this ribosomal RNA (253 nucleotides) under uncultured bacterium. RNAcentral describes it as "partial 16S ribosomal RNA". It matches the Rfam family "Bacterial small subunit ribosomal RNA", at positions 524 to 776 of the family's 1533-position model. The record is from RNAcentral.